GACGAACGCUGGCGGCGUGCCUAAUACAUGCAAGUAGAACGCUGAAGGAGGAGCUUGCUUCUCUGGAUGAGUUGCGAACGGGUGAGUAACGCGUAGGUAACCUGCCUGGUAGCGGGGGAUAACUAUUGGAAACGAUAGCUAAUACCGCAUAAUAGUAGAUGUUGCAUGACAUUUACUUAAAAGGUGCAAUUGCAUCACUACCAGAUGGACCUGCGUUGUAUUAGCUAGUUGGUGGGGUAACGGCUCACCAAGGCGACGAUACAUAGCCGACCUGAGAGGGUGAUCGGCCACACUGGGACUGAGACACGGCCCAGACUCCUACGGGAGGCAGCAGUAGGGAAUCUUCGGCAAUGGACGGAAGUCUGACCGAGCAACGCCGCGUGAGUGAAGAAGGUUUUCGGAUCGUAAAGCUCUGCUGUAAGAGAAGAACGAGUGUGAGAGUGGAAAGUUCACACUGUGACG
This 462-nucleotide ribosomal RNA is filed under the name Streptococcus mitis. RNAcentral describes it as "bacterial SSU rRNA". It matches the Rfam family "Bacterial small subunit ribosomal RNA", at positions 28 to 474 of the family's 1533-position model. The record is from RNAcentral. Lineage: Bacteria; Bacillati; Bacillota; Bacilli; Lactobacillales; Streptococcaceae.